RNAcentral lists this ribosomal RNA (372 nucleotides) under uncultured organism. RNAcentral describes it as "bacterial SSU rRNA". It matches the Rfam family "Bacterial small subunit ribosomal RNA", at positions 526 to 896 of the family's 1533-position model. The record is from RNAcentral.
CGUAGGGUGCGAGCGUUAAUCGGAAUUACUGGGCGUAAAGCGUGCGCAGGCGGCGCCGCAAGUCGAGUGUGAAAUCCCCGAGCUUAACUUGGGAAUUGCGCUCGAAACUACGGUGCUGGAGUGUGGCAGAGGGAGGUGGAAUUCCACGUGUAGCGGUGAAAUGCGUAGAGAUGUGGAGGAACACCGAUGGCGAAGGCAGCCUCCUGGGCCAACACUGACGCUCAUGCACGAAAGCGGGGGGAGCAAACAGGAUUAGAUACCCUGGUAGUCCACGCCCUAAACGAUGAUGACUAGUUGUUGGGGGAGUUAAAUCCCUUAGUAACGCAGCUAACGCGUGAAGUCAUCCGCCUGGGGAGUACGGUCGCAAGAUUA